Molecule: long non-coding RNA, 291 nt
Filed under: Lathyrus oleraceus (garden pea)
Lineage: Eukaryota; Viridiplantae; Streptophyta; Magnoliopsida; Fabales; Fabaceae
Description: Pisum sativum (pea) long non-coding RNA (PSAT_LNC013943)
Source: RNAcentral
AUAAAUGUACCCCUUGGCCAAAACACUUCCUUACUCUUUUCAGAGUCAUGUUAAUAUCUUUAAACUGUGUUGAAAAGCUAAGUUUGGGGUAAAACCCCAAAGAGUUCCAAACGCCCAAGAAAGUGCGAAAACAAAAAGAGAAAAAAAAUUGAAAUAGGAAAUCAUCGAGAAAAAGGGAAAAAGAAUUAUUAUAAAUAAACUCGAAGAUUCAAAAGAAGUACGAAAAAGGGCACUCAGUUGAAAAAUAGAAAGAAAAAAAGAGAAAACCGAGCGAAAAAACAAAAGAAACCA